UCCUCCGGCAGCCUCGGGGGAAAAACAGGCUCUCAUGUUUAGCAUCAUGCCUUUCACCUGUGAUCAUCUUCACAAGUUUCUGUGCAGGAAGUAUUCAAACAGAUAAAAGAUCAGUAAUCUACAGUACUAGAGGCUGAAAUUCUUGCCUUCUAUAGCAUUGUUCCAAUUUGCCAGCAUCUGUUAAUGAGGACAUAGUAUAAAGCCACCUGUAAUGUCAGAAGGUCAUUGAGGAGAAGAGGCUGUCAGGGACGCCAGCUCUUCUGCCACUGGUCUUAUGAAUCACAGAUGUCCUGGACCACACAAGGCUUCUGAGAGCAUUGCAGCCACUGUCAAACUGUAUUUCAUCUGGGUGCUGGCAAAAAAAAAGGCAAAGGAGAACUAGCUUGCU
RNAcentral lists this long non-coding RNA (388 nucleotides) under Anser brachyrhynchus (Pink-footed goose). RNAcentral describes it as "lncRNA (ENSABRG00000013231.1)". Lineage: Eukaryota; Metazoa; Chordata; Aves; Anseriformes; Anatidae. The record is from RNAcentral.